This 69-nucleotide antisense RNA is filed under the name Saccharothrix australiensis. Its description in RNAcentral is "ASpks TB sRNA". It matches the Rfam family "ASpks TB sRNA". Lineage: Bacteria; Bacillati; Actinomycetota; Actinomycetes; Pseudonocardiales; Pseudonocardiaceae. The record is from Rfam by way of RNAcentral.
CUUGAUCGAACCCAGCCACAGCGGUUCCGACCGGUCCUGCCCGUAGGUCGCCAGCAGCGCCUGCGCCUC